Molecule: ribosomal RNA, 426 nt
Filed under: Brevundimonas bullata
Lineage: Bacteria; Pseudomonadati; Pseudomonadota; Alphaproteobacteria; Caulobacterales; Caulobacteraceae
Description: bacterial SSU rRNA
Rfam family: Bacterial small subunit ribosomal RNA
Source: RNAcentral
CAUGGCUCAGAGCGAACGCUGGCGGCAGGCCUAACACAUGCAAGUCGAACGGACCCUUCGGGGUUAGUGGCGGACGGGUGAGUAACACGUGGGAACGUGCCUUUUGGUUCGGAAUAGCUCCUGGAAACGGGUGGUAAUGCCGAAUGUGCCCUUCGGGGGAAAGAUUUAUCGCCAUUAGAGCGGCCCGCGUCUGAUUAGCUAGUUGGUGAGGUAAAGGCUCACCAAGGCUACGAUCAGUAGCUGGUCUGAGAGGAUGACCAGCCACAUUGGGACUGAGACACGGCCCAAACUCCUACGGGAGGCAGCAGUGGGGAAUCUUGCGCAAUGGGCGAAAGCCUGACGCAGCCAUGCCGCGUGAAUGAUGAAGGUCUUAGGAUUGUAAAAUUCUUUCACCGGGGACGAUAAUGACGUACCCGGAGAAGAAGC